UAUUUAUUUAUAAAUGCUCAAAAAUGGAUGCGAUAAAAAUCACGCGAGGAAGGACAAGGAGGAGCCAAGCGCCGCGGACGCGCUGGGAGGACCGAGCCCAGCUGCUCAAGGGGCGGACGCACCGAGGGAUGGGGCGGAGAGAGACUGGGCCCAGCAGCCGCUGCCGGGGCUCUCCCGAGAGGCGGGGGUGGAGAGGAGCUAGGGGCAGGGGGAGAGGAGAGCAAAGAGUGAGAGUGGAAAAGGCAGCCAGAGAAAUCGGAUUAGGGAGAAGGGGGUUACGAGAGGGCGAAGUGGCUGGGAAAGGAGGUGGCGUGAGAUACAGCAGCCCCUGGGGAAGGAGGAGAUGGGGAUGUGCGUGGAGGCGAACUGGAGCAGAAAGCGCGAUGGAGCAAAAGUACAAAGGGGGUGGGAGCUAACCGGGUACAGUGCACCGCUGGAUGUAAGGGGGGAAAAGCGGUGCACGCCCAUAUCUUUAUUCACACCCAGGCACAUAACCAAUAACCGGAGAAGAGGCACAGCAGUACAGUUAUUAAAAGCAUCUGAGCUGAGCUCUGCCCUGACCUGAGUGAGGGGUUCUGGAACGGCCGGUGCAGCAUCCCGGCUGCUAACGGCUGGAGAGCUCAGGCCUUGGGGAGAGGGCUCAGGUUCUUCUUGACUCAACUUUUCUCCUUUGGAAGCUGAUGACAGUACAGGGCCCCACCACUUAGAUCCAACACAAAGUGUAGGAGACAGCGAAUAAAAUACCACCCAACCACAAUCCAAACUCGGGUCACAGAGAAAGAAAAGUCAAAUUUGUACAUAGCCACGUACCUUACCGAUGUUUGUCUGGAAGCGGAUUAACCUACUGAAAAGAUAACAGCAACGCGGCUCUUUAUCUCCGUUUACCUAAACUACUAUUACCUGUCACAGACUCUUAACUGGAGCAUCAUUCCCCAGCUGCAAAGGGCACAGAAACCGUUGAGGAAUGUGGUCUAUAGGAAGAGACCGCUUGAGAGGUAGAGGAGGAAACACAGCUGGCUGGUGUUGAGAAUGAGCAACAUGGAAAGCAACACUCUGCUAUGUGUCCUACUCCUAGGCAGAUGAGACAUUGGGAGUGGCCAUCAUUAACGGGCAUGGCACAAUCAAAUGAGCAGUUCUUAAAGCCGGAUAGAGUGCACCAUGAUGGAGGAGUACCCCCUGGAGGGGGGUGAAGGAGUGUCUCACCACACAUACCCCUUAAAAGGUUUGUGUUUAUGUGACAUUAUUGACACAAACUGUGACCAUAUAGACCAUUGUUGCAACUAAGGUCAUAUAGUGGCACCAAAUCUUGUACAGGGGAGGUCAAGUGGGGUAUCUAUGACAAGGUUAUGGUUUGCUGGUUAUGAUUAUACUAUCUGUAUGCAUGUAUCAUUUUUGUAUUUAAAGUUAUAAGUAUUGGCUCUAUACUGUCUGUAUUUCAAACUUGUGCUAUG
Molecule: long non-coding RNA, 1451 nt
Organism: Chrysemys picta bellii (western painted turtle)
Lineage: Eukaryota; Metazoa; Chordata; Testudines; Emydidae
Source: RefSeq, a predicted model, not a curated record